This 419-nucleotide ribosomal RNA is filed under the name uncultured bacterium. RNAcentral's name for it is "bacterial SSU rRNA". It matches the Rfam family "Bacterial small subunit ribosomal RNA", at positions 359 to 776 of the family's 1533-position model. The record is from RNAcentral.
GAAUAUUGGUCAAUGGGCGAGAGCCUGAACCAGCCAUGCCGCGUGCAGGAAGACGGCCUUCUGGGUUGUAAACUGCUUUUAUACGGGAAGAAAAGGCUCAUGCGUGAGUAACUGACGGUACCGUAUGAAUAAGCACCGGCUAACUCCGUUCCAGCAGCCGCGGUAAUACGGAGGGUGCAAGCGUUGUCCGGAUUUAUUGGGUUUAAAGGGUACGUAGGCGGCUUUUUAAGUCAGUGGUGAAAUCCUGCGGCUUAACUGUAGAACUGCCAUUGAUACUGGGAAGCUUGAGUACUGUUAAGGUAGGCGGAAUUGAUGGUGUAGCGGUGAAAUGCAUAGAUACCAUCAGGAACACCGAUUGCGAAGGCAGCUUACUGGGCAGAGACUGACGCUAAGGUACGAAAGCGUGGGGAGCGAACAGG